GGUAUAGUAGCUUGAAGAACAUCGACCAAAGCUUGCAACUGAUGCCUGAAGGAAUCGCAAAGCGUUGGUUUGCCUUUCGAAGUUCCACGAGACAUAGUAGUCG
Apis mellifera (honey bee) is the source of this 103-nucleotide non-coding RNA. The record is from RefSeq and is marked provisional. NCBI's taxonomy places the organism in Eukaryota, Metazoa, Arthropoda, Insecta, Hymenoptera, Apidae.